ACGAGGCGAACCGGGGGAACUGAAACAUCUAAGUACCCCGAGGAAAAGAAAUCAACCGAGAUUCCCCCAGUAGCGGCGAGCGAACGGGGAGCAGCCCAGAGUCUGAAUCAGCUUGUGUGUUAGUGGAACGGUCUGGAAAGUCCGACGGUACAGGGUGAUAGUCCCGUACACCAAAAUGCACAGGCUGUGAACUCGAAGAGUAGGGCGGGACACGUGGUAUCCUGUCUGAAUAUGGGGGGACCAUCCUCCAAGGCUAAAUACUCCUGACUGACCGAUAGUGAACCAGUACCGUGAGGGAAAGGCGAAAAGAACCCCGGCGAGGGGAGUGAAAAAGAACCUGAAACCGUGUACGUACAAGCAGUGGGAGCACCUUCGGGUGUGACUGCGUACCUUUUGUAUAAUGGGUCAGCGACUUAUAUUCUGUAGCAAGGUUAACCGUAUAGGGGAGCCGCAGGGAAACCGAGUCUUAACUGGGCGUUAAGUUGCAGGGUAUAGACCCGAAACCCGGUGAUCUAGCCAUGGGCAGGUUGAAGGUUGGGUAACACUAACUGGAGGACCGAACCGACUAAUGUUGAAAAAUUAGCGGAUGACUUGUGGCUGGGGGUGAAAGGCCAAUCAAACCGGGAGAUAGCUGGUUCUCCCCGAAAGCUAUUUAGGUAGCGCCUCGUGAACUCAUCUUCGGGGGUAGAGCACUGUUUCGGCUAGGGGGUCAUCCCGACUUACCAACCCGAUGCAAACUACGAAUACCGAAGAAUGUUAUCACGGGAGACACACGGCGGGUGCUAACGUCCGUCGUGAAGAGGGAAACAACCCAGACCGCCAGCUAAGGUCCCAAAGUCAUGGUUAAGUGGGAAACGAUGUGGGAAGGCACAGACAGCCAGGAUGUUGGCUUAGAAGCAGCCAUCAUUUAAAGAAAGCGUAAUAGCUCACUGGUCGAGUCGGCCUGCGCGGAAGAUGUAACGGGGCUAAACCAUGCACCGAAGCUGCGGCAGCGACACUAUGUGUUGUUGGGUAGGGGAGCGUUCUGUAAGCCUGCGAAGGUGACCUGUGAGGGUUGCUGGAGGUAUCAGAAGUGCGAAUGCUGACAUAAGUAACGAUAAAGCGGGUGAAAAGCCCGCUCGCCGGAAGACCAAGGGUUCCUGUCCAACGUUAAUCGGGGCAGGGUGAGUCGACCCCUAAGGCGAGGCCGAAAGGCGUAGUCGAUGGGAAACAGGUUAAUAUUCCUGUACUUGGUGUUACUGCGAAGGGGGGACGGAGAAGGCUAUGUUAGCCGGGCGACGGUUGUCCCGGUUUAAGCAUGUAGGCUGGUUAUCCAGGCAAAUCCGGAUAAUCAAGGCUGAGGUGUGAUGACGAGGCACUACGGUGCUGAAGUAACAAAUGCCCUGCUUCCAGGAAAAGCCUCUAAGCAUCAGGUAACAUCAAAUCGUACCCCAAACCGACACAGGUGGUCAGGUAGAGAAUACCAAGGCGCUUGAGAGAACUCGGGUGAAGGAACUAGGCAAAAUGGUGCCGUAACUUCGGGAGAAGGCACGCUGGUGUGUAGGUGAAGCCCCUGCGGGUGGAGCUGAGACCAGUCGAAGAUACCAGCUGGCUGCAACUGUUUAUUAAAAACACAGCACUGUGCAAACACGAAAGUGGACGUAUACGGUGUGACGCCUGCCCGGUGCCGGAAGGUUAAUUGAUGGGGUUAUCCGUAAGGAGAAGCUCUUGAUCGAAGCCCCGGUAAACGGCGGCCGUAACUAUAACGGUCCUAAGGUAGCGAAAUUCCUUGUCGGGUAAGUUCCGACCUGCACGAAUGGCGUAAUGAUGGCCAGGCUGUCUCCACCCGAGACUCAGUGAAAUUGAACUCGCUGUGAAGAUGCAGUGUACCCGCGGCAAGACGGAAAGACCCCGUGAACCUUUACUAUAGCUUGACACUGAACAUUGAGCCUUGAUGUGUAGGAUAGGUGGGAGGCUUUGAAGCGUGGACGCCAGUCUGCGUGGAGCCAACCUUGAAAUACCACCCUUUAAUGUUUGAUGUUCUAACGUUGGCCCCUUACCGGGGUUGCGGACAGUGUCUGGUGGGUAGUUUGACUGGGGCGGUCUCCUCCCAAAGCGUAACGGAGGAGCACGAAGGUUAGCUAAUCCUGGUCGGACAUCAGGAGGUUAGUGCAAUGGCAUAAGCUAGCUUGACUGCGAGCGUGACGGCGCGAGCAGGUGCGAAAGCAGGUCAUAGUGAUCCGGUGGUUCUGAAUGGAAGGGCCAUCGCUCAACGGAUAAAAGGUACUCCGGGGAUAACAGGCUGAUACCGCCCAAGAGUUCAUAUCGACGGCGGUGUUUGGCACCUCGAUGUCGGCUCAUCACAUCCUGGGGCUGAAGUAGGUCCCAAGGGUAUGGCUGUUCGCCAUUUAAAGUGGUACGCGAGCUGGGUUUAGAACGUCGUGAGACAGUUCGGUCCCUAUCUGCCGUGGGCGCUGGAGAAUUGAGGGGGGCUGCUCCUAGUACGAGAGGACCGGAGUGGACGCAUCACUGGUGUUCGGGUUGUCAUGCCAAUGGCACUGCCCGGUAGCUAAAUGCGGAAGAGAUAAGUGCUGAAAGCAUCUAAGCACGAAACUUGCCCCGAGAUGAGUUCUCCCUGAGACUUUAAGUCUCCUGAAGGAACGUUGAAGACGACGACGUUGAUAGGCCGGGUGUGUAAGCGCAGCGAUGCGUUGAGCUAACCGGUACUAAUGAACCGUGAGGCUUAACC
RNAcentral lists this ribosomal RNA (2728 nucleotides) under Klebsiella pneumoniae. RNAcentral's name for it is "bacterial LSU rRNA". It matches the Rfam family "Bacterial large subunit ribosomal RNA". The record is from RNAcentral. Lineage: Bacteria; Pseudomonadati; Pseudomonadota; Gammaproteobacteria; Enterobacterales; Enterobacteriaceae.